CAGCCGCCGCGGUAAUACCGGCGGCCCGAGUGGCGGUCACUAUUAUUGGGCUUAAAGCGUCCGUAGCCGGGUUGGUUAGUCUCCCGGGAAAUCUGGCCGCUUAACGGUCAGAAUUCCGGGAGAUACUGCCAGCCUAGGGACCGGGAGAGGCCGAGGGUAUUCCCGGAGUAGGGGUGAAAUCCUAUAAUCCCGGGAGGACCACCUGUGGCGAAGGCGCUCGGCUGGAACGGGUCCGACGGUGAGGGACGAAGGCCAGGGGAGCAAACCGGAUUAGAUACCCGGGUAGUCCUGGCUGUAAACGAUGCGGACUUUGUGUCGGACAAGCUAUGAGCUUGUCCGGUGCCGGAGGGAAACCGUUAAGUCCGCCGCCUGGGGAGUACGGCCGCAAGGCUGAAACUUAAAGGAAUUGGCGGG
RNAcentral lists this ribosomal RNA (414 nucleotides) under uncultured microorganism. RNAcentral's name for it is "bacterial SSU rRNA". It matches the Rfam family "Archaeal small subunit ribosomal RNA", at positions 459 to 872 of the family's 1478-position model. The record is from RNAcentral.